CCCUAAUUCCACAGCCGCCGCAGGGAAUCGGCGACGAACGACGGCGAACUCGACGCCGUUUCAUCGGGUGAAUGUUGACAUCGGCCGACCGUCCACCGGUGCAUAAUCUUUAAUUUGCAAGUGUUGGCUCUUCCCAUCCCAGGAGGAUAUGGAUAAAUUUUUGUUGAAAGGGAAACGACCAGCAUUAGAUAGUAAUGUGGCAGGGACUUCAAGGCCUGUUAGACCAAGACAAGAUCUUGCUUCAAAUAUUGGUACUACUCCUCCGCCUCCGGCAGAAAUUAACUUAGAUGCACUUUCUCAUGAUCCAGCUGAUCGAAAAAGAAUAGGGCAGUACACAAAGAAUCCUAAGAAGCAAGAUGAGAUUAGAAGAAUAUAUUUAAAUAGAGGACCUUACAGACCACAAGAAGGCUUUAAAUAUCCUCAGAAAACCAUCGCAGGAGCUGAACAGAGAUAUAAUCCAAAAUGGUUCAAAGACUACCAUUGGCUAGAGUAUAGUGAUAAGGUGCAUAAGUCAUUUUGCGUGUGUUGCUAUCUAUUUAGAGAUUGCAUCGACGGCCAAGGUGGUAAUGAUGCAUUUGUUGUUAAAGGCUUCUCUUGUUGGAAUAAGAAACAAAGACUAGAUACUCAUGAGGGUGAAGUUAAUAGCUUUCACAAUGUAGCUGUUAAAAGUUGUGGUGCUAAUUUUGCCAGUUGCCACAGCGUCAGUGGAGAGAUGCUUUUCAGCAAUGAAUAUCGUCAAGGGUGUUUUGCGGAACAAAAUGGGUGAUGAGUUCAUGAGUGAUUGCCUGAUUUGCUAUGUGGAGAAAGACAUAUUUUCUACAAUAACGAAUGAUGAUGUAAUUGAUCUAUUUAAGAAGAUGAAAGAUCGAGAAGGGAAGUUAUAAAAUAAAGUUACAAGUGAAACGUUCCAAAGUCAUCUUUUUGCCUAUUAUUUUUGGAAUAUGUAAAGAAGUGUUACUUUAUGACUUCGUUCAGCCAAUACUCGCUACUCGGUACGAUUUUUUUUUAUGUAAUAAUAAUAUCACC
This is a long non-coding RNA of Aegilops tauschii subsp. strangulata, 1026 nucleotides long. RefSeq lists it as uncharacterized. The record is from RefSeq and is a predicted model, not a curated record. NCBI's taxonomy places the organism in Eukaryota, Viridiplantae, Streptophyta, Magnoliopsida, Poales, Poaceae.